GUGUACGGAGACCCAUACUUGUUGAUGCAGUCUGCAGGAAGAAAGGGAAUGGAUGUGGAAGAACAGCACAGUACAUCCAGGCAGCGUCCAGUCUGAUUGACAUGGGCCCUGCAGGUCCUGGAGGACAGCGAGGAGGGGCUGCGGCCAGGCCUUGCAGGGCUGCGCGGAGCGGGUACUGUGGGGUGGGGGUGACCCUGCUGCCCUCAACUCCCAUCACCAGCACGCCCCAUGCCACAGUCCCUGUGCACGCAGAAUGUUCCGGGUGAGGACGCUGUUGGAGGACACUGCACCAGCCACACGACCAACCCCACAGCUGGGCGGCGACUCCGAGCGACCAGGGCACACAGGCCCACCUGCCUCAGCCAGCAGCACAGGCCAGGAUUCAUCAUUAAAGAAACAGGAAAACAGAGAGGCCGGGGAGAGCGACCAAGCUAGGCUGAGCUGAAGGAGGGCACGGGCCUGUGGGGCUGUGGGCAGCCCCCGGGCAACAGCCCCAGGUGCGUCAUCUCUGCAGGGAUGAGCUAUGUCCACAAGUGCACAGUGGCCAUCUGACAGCCUCAGAGCUUUCAGAAAGGCAGAUCUAAGAGGGGUCAAGUCAACCACUAGAAAUGUAAGCGGAAACAGGCCUCCAUGGUUCAUCCAGAACCACUCUUUCAUCCCGGGUGACAUUUAUUCCACCCCAGGAGAAUUCUUUAAAAGGAACAUUCCAGCAGAACGGAAAACUUCGCUAUGAAAUCACCCUGACUUCAGGGCGGGAGGGACGUCAACGGGAAUCCACACCUUCUCGGACUUUCCAAAGUCACCCGCUCCCGAGCCCGCAGGAUAGAGUGGCCAGGCCGUCCUCACACGGCGGCUCCUGCGGGAGGCGGCCCCGGGCGCCCCGCCUUCUCCAAGGACAUUCCUAACCGAGGUGCCGGGGCCAGCACCGUCGGGCUCCUGAAAGCACCCGCUGCCUCCAGGAGAGCACCUGGCAGAACGGGGCCGCGGAGCCGCCCUCCCCUCCCGCAUGCGGCCCCGCUCGAUUCCUGGAAUCUUAUUUUUGGACCUGCUGCCGCAAGCAGUUCCCGCCCUCGGCCCUUUCAAUUCCUCUUUCGGGAGGGGACUGCUCUCCACCCCUCUCAGGAGGACGAGGCGCGGCCCGGGGGUUCCUCACCUCCAGCCCAGCAGAGGGAGGGCCGCGGGGAAGCGGUUUGGGUUUUAACCAUUGUGUUUCUCUCGCACUUUGGAAACGGACUCCCGGCUUCCCCGCGGGGAGGCGUCUGACAGCGAGCGUUUCCCGGACAGCCCCGCAGCGUCUCACCGGCCUGCGCGGGGAUCCCGGGGUCGCCGGGGGAUGGGCGUGGGGGACGCGGGGCGGGCCGGGGCUCCUGGGACCCUGAGGCCAGGCCUCGCCGCGCGGAGCUGGGGGGCGGCAGCAGCGCUGCCUCUCGGGAGCGGUUGGAGGCGCGCGGGCGCCAGGGGUUCCCCCGCAUCCCGCCCGCCGGCUGCUCACCGUCUCGGGGUCGUUCUCGAACACCUCCCGCGCCUCCUCGCGGCUGCACAGCUCCUCCACGCACUCCCUCUCCAGGUGGCCCUGCUUGGCCUCCUCGAAGACCUGAAAGGCGCGGCGCUGCCUGGGCCGCAGGAACUGCGUGGCCUCGCGCGCCGGCAACAGCGCGG
Molecule: long non-coding RNA, 1659 nt
Filed under: Homo sapiens (human)
Lineage: Eukaryota; Metazoa; Chordata; Mammalia; Primates; Hominidae
Description: HSALNT0375399
Source: RNAcentral